Long non-coding RNA from Hyla sarda, 424 nucleotides. RefSeq lists it as uncharacterized. The transcript has 3 exons. The record is from RefSeq and is a predicted model, not a curated record. NCBI's taxonomy places the organism in Eukaryota, Metazoa, Chordata, Amphibia, Anura, Hylidae.
UGACUUCCGACAAAACCAGAGUAGAGAACUAAAGUCUCACACCUUCCCCUUAGGCAAGGGAAGAACCAUCCUUGAUGUAUUCCUGUGUGUUCACCAUAACAGCUGACUCGCGCACAUGCUAUUCUGAAAGCCGAAAACCGUGGAACGUGCUCUCGAAUCACCCAAAGUGCAAGAAAUAGUGCAAACAUGUUGCACAAAAAACCUGCAUAAAGGAUGCGGUCUAUCGCAAGCCCUUAUCCGAAAGGAGAGAGGCCCCCUCGUAUUGUUUCCUCGUAUUGUAAUCCUGACUAGGAUGAAAAUAGGAUUACUGCUGAGAAGUGAUCUCUACACAACUCUUGUGAAGCUCACCGAAAUGGACUAGGAUGAAGUUCACAGGAAUGUCACUUUGACUCUACAGAAGCUGGUAUGCCCCAAGCAAUCCUAA